GAUGAACGCUAGCGGCAGGCCUAAUACAUGCAAGUCGAGGGGUAGAAGAGGCUUGCUUCUUUGAGACCGGCGCACGGGUGCGUAACGCGUAUGCAACCUACCUUCAUCUGGGGGAUAGCCCGGAGAAAUCCGGAUUAAUACCGCAUAAAAUCACAGGAUGGCAUUAUCCAAUGAUCAAACAUUUAUGGGAUGGAGAUGGGCAUGCGUGUCAUUAGCUAGUUGGCGGGGUAACGGCCCACCAAGGCGACGAUGACUAGGGGAUCUGAGAGGAUGGCCCCCCACACGGGUACUGGAACACGGACCAGACUCCUACGGGAGGCAGCAGUAAGGAAUAUUGGUCAAUGGAGGCAACUCUGAACCAGCCAUGCCGCGUGCAGGAAGACUGCCCUAUGGGUUGUAAACUGCUUUUAUUCGGGAAUAAACCUUAUUACGUGUAAUAAGCUGAAUGUACCGAAGGAAUAAGGAUCGGCUAACUCCGUGCCAGCCGCCGCAGUAA
RNAcentral lists this ribosomal RNA (496 nucleotides) under uncultured bacterium. RNAcentral describes it as "partial 16S ribosomal RNA". It matches the Rfam family "Bacterial small subunit ribosomal RNA", at positions 28 to 523 of the family's 1533-position model. The record is from RNAcentral.